RNAcentral lists this ribosomal RNA (393 nucleotides) under uncultured bacterium. RNAcentral describes it as "partial 16S ribosomal RNA". It matches the Rfam family "Bacterial small subunit ribosomal RNA", at positions 523 to 918 of the family's 1533-position model. The record is from RNAcentral.
AUACGGAGGAUGCGAGCGUUAUCCGGAUUUAUUGGGUUUAAAGGGUGCGUAGGCUGUGCGUUAAGUCAGGGGUGAAAUGCCGUCGCUCAACGACGGAGCUGCCCUUGAUACUGGCGUGCUGGAGUACGGAUGCCGUUGGAGGAAUGAGUGGUGUAGCGGUGAAAUGCUUAGAUAUCACUCAGAACACCGAUUGCGAAGGCAUCUGACGAAUCCGUCACUGACGCGGAGGCACGAAAGCGUGGGGAUAGAACAGGAUUAGAUACCCUGGUAUUCCACGCCGUAAACGAUGAUGACUAACCGUCGGCGAUAGACAGCCGGUGGCCAAGCGAAAGCGAUAAGUCAUCCACCUGGGGAGUACGUCGGCAACGAUGAAACUCAAAUGAAUUGACGGGG